RNAcentral lists this small nucleolar RNA (107 nucleotides) under Gossypium hirsutum (cotton). Its description in RNAcentral is "Plant small nucleolar RNA R71". It matches the Rfam family "Plant small nucleolar RNA R71". From Rfam's summary of the family: R71 is a member of the C/D box family of snoRNAs containing the C (UGAUGA) and D (CUGA) box motifs. Multiple nearly identical copies of this snoRNA have been identified in Arabidopsis, and it is thought to function as a 2'-O-ribose methylation guide for 18S ribosomal RNA. Lineage: Eukaryota; Viridiplantae; Streptophyta; Magnoliopsida; Malvales; Malvaceae. The record is from Rfam by way of RNAcentral.
AUCCCAUGAUAAGGAAACUUACGAUGCAAUUCCUUGAAUCUUUCCCACGCCUCGUAUAAGGACUGGUCAUCCAAUUGUUGAAAAGUAGUUAUCUUAUUUUGGAACUU